RNAcentral lists this ribosomal RNA (483 nucleotides) under uncultured bacterium. Its description in RNAcentral is "partial 16S ribosomal RNA". It matches the Rfam family "Bacterial small subunit ribosomal RNA", at positions 28 to 507 of the family's 1533-position model. The record is from RNAcentral.
GAUGAACGCUGGCGGCGUGCCUAACACAUGCAAGUCGAACGGAGUCGUUUUGGAAAUCUCUUCGGAGAUGGAAUUCUCGACUUAGUGGCGGACGGGUGAGUAACGCGUGAGCACUCUGCCUUUAAGAGGGGGAUAACAGUCGGAAACGGCUGCUAAUACCGCAUAAAGCAUUAAAUUCGCAUGUUUUUGAUGCCAAAGGAGCAAUCCGCUUUUAGAUGAGCUCGCGUCUGAUUAGCUAGUUGGCGGGGUAACGGCCCACCAAGGCGACGAUCAGUAGCCGGACUGAGAGGUUGAACGGCCACAUUGGGCCUGAGACACGGCCCAGACUCCUACGGGAGGCGGCAGUGGGGAAUAUUGCGCGAUGGGGGAAGCCCUGACGCAGCAUCGCCGCGUGAUUGAAGAAGGCCUUCGGGUUGUAAAGAUCUUUAAUCAGGGACGAAACAAAUGACGGUACCUGAAGAAUAAGCCCCGGCUAACUACGUG